This 74-nucleotide transfer RNA is filed under the name Caudoviricetes sp. RNAcentral's name for it is "tRNA-Gly". It matches the Rfam family "tRNA". From Rfam's summary of the family: Transfer RNA (tRNA) molecules are approximately 80 nucleotides in length. Their secondary structure includes four short double-helical elements and three loops (D, anti-codon, and T loops). Lineage: Duplodnaviria; Heunggongvirae; Uroviricota; Caudoviricetes. The record is from RNAcentral.
GGAGCGUUCGUAUAAUGGUAGUACCUCUGCCUUCCAAGCAGAUAGUGCCGGGUCAGAACCGGUACGCUCCUCCA